CUUUCCAGAGGAGCAGAGCCACUCAGAAGUUUAACUGUGAUGAUGAGUUACAGAUGCAAAGCGUGUCUAUAAAUCAGGCUAUAGGAGCUGGUCACGGGGAGCUGCAGGAAGAGAAAAUACAUGGAUACGAUUCAGUGUUUAAAAGCUGGUUAGACACAGAGCAGAUUGCUGACGGAAACAGCAGAAGAUGGAUAAGGCUGGUUGCAGGACACCCUGAGGAAAGAAGGCAAACUUUUGUAAGAAAAACAAGACAGGGAUGUAGAGAGCUCACUGCAGAAAGAUAUCUCCGCUGUGUUCCUACUUCUGUCUCAUUAUAAGUGACAUUUAGGCAGGCAGUGGGAGUCAACUAAAGUAAAUAGCUACAAAUCUGGCAUCCCGUUGUUAAGCUCUGGACGGGCACUGAAAAAAAACCAGCCAUGCUCCAAGCCACAGAGCCGUGUAUGAGGCAUGUCUAAGAGAAAAACAGAGUAUCAACCAGUAAUGACAUUUUUUCAGAUUUAACUUCUU
Molecule: long non-coding RNA, 507 nt
Filed under: Gallus gallus (chicken)
Lineage: Eukaryota; Metazoa; Chordata; Aves; Galliformes; Phasianidae
Description: long non-coding RNA NONGGAT008617
Source: RNAcentral